AUUGAACGCUGGCGGCAUGCCUUACACAUGCAAGUCGAACGGCAGCACGGGAGCAAUCCUGGUGGCGAGUGGCGAACGGGUGAGUAAUGUAUCGGAACGUGCCCAGUCGUGGGGGAUAACGCAGCGAAAGCUGUGCUAAUACCGCAUACGAUCUAUGGAUGAAAGCGGGAGAUCGCAAGACCUCGCGCGAUUGGAGCGGCCGAUAUCAGAUUAGGUAGUUGGUGGGGUAAAGGCCUACCAAGCCUGCGAUCUGUAGCUGGUCUGAGAGGACGACCAGUCACACUGGAACUGAGACACGGUCCAGACUCCUACGGGAGGCAGCAGUGGGGAAUUUUGGACAAUGGGCGCAAGCCUGAUCCAGCAAUGCCGCGUGCAGGAUGAAGGCCUUCGGGUUGUAAACUGCUUUUGUACGGAGCGAAACGGCUCUCACUAAUACUGGGGGCUAAUGACGGUACCGUAAGAAUAAGCACCGGCUAACUACGUGCCAGCAGCCGCCGUAA
Molecule: ribosomal RNA, 500 nt
Filed under: uncultured bacterium
Lineage: Bacteria
Description: partial 16S ribosomal RNA
Rfam family: Bacterial small subunit ribosomal RNA
Source: RNAcentral